GAGUACGGCGGAACACGUGAAAUUCCGUCGGAAUCCGGGAGGACCAUCUCCCAAGGCUAAAUACUCCCUAGUGACCGAUAGUGAACCAGUACCGUGAGGGAAAGGUGAAAAGCACCCCGGAAGGGGAGUGAAACAGUUCCUGAAACCGUGUGCCUACAAGUAGUUAGAGCCCGUUAAUGGGUGAUAGCGUGCCUUUUGUAGAAUGAACCGGCGAGUUACGAUUUGUUGCAAGGUUAAGCGGAAAAAGCGGAGCCGUAGCGAAAGCGAGUCUGAAUAGGGCGCAUAAGUAACAGGUCGUAGACCCGAAACCAGGUGAUCUACCCAUGUCCAGGAUGAAGGUAAGGUAAUACUUACUGGAGGUCCGAACCCACGCACGUUGAAAAGUGCGGGGAUGAGGUGUGGGUAGCGGAGAAAUUCCAAUCGAACUUGGAGAUAGCUGGUUCUCUCCGAAAUAGCUUUAGGGCUAGCCUCGAGGUAAAGAGUCAUGGAGGUAGAGCACUGUUUGGACUAGGGGCCCUUCUCGGGUUACCGAAUUCAGAUAAACUCCGAAUGCCAUGUACUUAUACUCGGGAGUCAGACUGCGAGUGAUAAGAUCCGUAGUCGAAAGGGAAACAGCCCAGACCACCAGUUAAGGUCCCCAAAUAUAUGUUAAGUGGAAAAGGAUGUGGGGUUGCUUAGACAACCAGGAUGUUGGCUUAGAAGCAGCCACCAUUGAAAGAGUGCGUAAUAGCUCACUGGUCGAGUGACCCCGCGCCGAAAAUGUACCGGGGCUAAACAUAUUACCGAAACUGUGGAUGAACCUCUUUAGAGGUUCGUGGUAGGAGAGCGUUCUAAGGGCGGUGAAGUCAGACCGGAAGGACUGGUGGAGCGCUUAGAAGUGAGAAUGCCGGUAUGAGUAGCGAAAGAAGGGUGAGAAUCCCUUCCACCGAAUAUCUAAGGUUUCCUGAGGAAGGCUCGUCCGCUCAGGGUUAGUCGGGACCUAAGCCGAGGCCGAUAGGCGUAGGCGAUGGACAACAGGUAGAGAUUCCUGUACCAGUGCUAAUUGUUUAACCGAUGGGGUGACACAGAAGGAUAGGGAAUCGCACGAAUGGAAAUGUGCGUCCAAGCAGUGAGUGUGAGAAGUAGGCAAAUCCGCUUCUCGCGAAGCAUGAGCUGUGAUGGGGAAGGAAAUUAAGUACGGAAGUUCCUGAUUUCACGCUGUCAAGAAAAGCCUCUAGGAAGAGUAGUACUGCCCGUACCGCAAACCGACACAGGUAGAUGAGGAGAGAAUCCUAAGGUGAGCGAGAGAACUCUCGUUAAGGAACUCGGCAAAAUGACCCCGUAACUUCGGGAGAAGGGGUGCUCUAUUAGGGUGCAAGCCCGAGAGAGCCGCAGUGAAUAGGCCCAGGCGACUGUUUAGCAAAAACACAGGUCUCUGCAAAACCGUAAGGUGACGUAUAGGGGCUGACGCCUGCCCGGUGCUGGAAGGUUAAGAGGAGUGCUUAGCUUCGGCGAAGGUACGAAUUGAAGCCCCAGUAAACGGCGGCCGUAACUAUAACGGUCCUAAGGUAGCGAAAUUCCUUGUCGGGUAAGUUCCGACCCGCACGAAAGGCGCAACGAUCUGGGCACUGUCUCAACGAGAGACUCGGUGAAAUUAUAGUACCUGUGAAGAUGCAGGUUACCCGCGACAGGACGGAAAGACCCCGUGGAGCUUUACUGCAACCUGAUAUGGAAUGUUUGUACCGCUUGUACAGGAUAGGUAGGAGCCGAAGAGACGUGUGCGCUAGCAUACGAGGAGGCAAUGGUGGGAUACUACCCUGGCUGUAUGACCAUUCUAACCCGCCACGCUUAGCGCGUGGGGAGACAGUGUCAGGUGGGCAGUUUGACUGGGGCGGUCGCCUCCUAAAGAGUAACGGAGGCGCCCAAAGGUUCCCUCAGAAUGGAUGGAAAUCAUUCGCAGAGUGUAAAGGCACAAGGGAGCUUGACUGCGAGACUGACAAGUCGAGCAGGGACGAAAGUCGGGCUUAGUGAUCCGGUGGUUCCGCAUGGAAGGGCCAUCGCUCAACGGAUAAAAGCUACCCCGGGGAUAACAGGCUUAUCUCCCCCAAGAGUCCACAUCGACGGGGAGGUUUGGCACCUCGAUGUCGGCUCGUCGCAUCCUGGGGCUGUAGUCGGUCCCAAGGGUUGGGCUGUUCGCCCAUUAAAGCGGCACGCGAGCUGGGUUCAGAACGUCGUGAGACAGUUCGGUCCCUAUCCGUCGCGGGCGCAGGAAAUUUGAGAGGAGCUGUCCUUAGUACGAGAGGACCGGGAUGGACACACCGCUGGUGUACCAGUUGUUCCGCCAGGAGCAUCGCUGGGUAGCUAUGUGUGGCAGGGAUAAACGCUGAAAGCAUCUAAGCGUGAAGCCCCCCUCAAGAUGAGAUUUCCCAUUUCUUCGGAAAGUAAGAUCCCUGAAAGAUGAUCAGGUAGAUAGGUUUGGAGUGGAAGUGUAGCGAUACAUGGAGCGGACAAAUACUAAUCGAUCGAGGACUUAACCAAAA
Molecule: ribosomal RNA, 2519 nt
Filed under: Listeria monocytogenes
Lineage: Bacteria; Bacillati; Bacillota; Bacilli; Caryophanales; Listeriaceae
Description: partial 23S ribosomal RNA
Rfam family: Bacterial large subunit ribosomal RNA
Source: RNAcentral